GAUGAACGCUGGCGGCGUGCUUAACACAUGCAAGUCGAACGGGAUCCAAGGGGUGCUUGCACUUUUUGGUGAGAGUGGCGAACGGGUGAGUAACACGUGAGUAACCUGUCCUUUUCUUUGGGAUAAGCAUUCGAAAGGGUGUUUAAUACCUUAUGUUCUGUCUGCCUCGCAUGGGGUGGGUGGGAAAGGCUUUGGCCGGAUUUGGGUGGGCUCGCGGUCUAUCUGCUUGUUGGUGGGGUGAUGGCUUACCAAGGCUUUGACGGGUAGCCGGCCUGAGAGGGUGGUCGGUCACAUUGGGACUGAGAUACGGCCCAGACUCCUGCGGGAGGCAGCAGUGGGGGAUAUUGCACAAUGGGCGAAAGCCUGAUGCAGCGACGCCGCGUGGGGGAUGGAGGCCUUCGGGUUGUAAACUUCUUUUGCUCUGAACAAGGCAUGCCAGUGGGUGUGUUGAGUGUAGGGGUUGAUUAGCGCCGGCUAACUACGUG
RNAcentral lists this ribosomal RNA (485 nucleotides) under uncultured bacterium. RNAcentral describes it as "partial 16S ribosomal RNA". It matches the Rfam family "Bacterial small subunit ribosomal RNA", at positions 28 to 507 of the family's 1533-position model. The record is from RNAcentral.